This 253-nucleotide ribosomal RNA is filed under the name uncultured bacterium. RNAcentral's name for it is "partial 16S ribosomal RNA". It matches the Rfam family "Bacterial small subunit ribosomal RNA", at positions 524 to 776 of the family's 1533-position model. The record is from RNAcentral.
UACGUAGGGUGCAAGCGUUAUCCGGAUUCACUGGGUUUAAAGGGUGCGUAGGUGGAUUGGUAAGUCAGUGGUGAAAUCUCCGGGCUUAACCCGGAAACUGCCAUUGAUACUAUCAGUCUUGAAUACCGUGGAGGUCAGUAGAAUAUGUCAUGUAGCGGUGAAAUGCUUAGAUAUGACAUAGAAUACCAAUUGCGAAGGCAGCUGGCUACACGAAUAUUGACACUCAGGCACGAAAGCGUGGGGAUCAAACAGG